UACGUAGGGUGCGAGCGUUAAUCGGAAUUACUGGGCGUAAAGCGUGCGCAGGUGGUUGUGCAAGACAGGUGUGAAAUCCCCGGGCUUAACCUGGGGACUGCAUUUGUGACUGCACGGCUAGAGUGCGGUAGAGGGGGAUGGAAUUCCGCGUGUAGCAGUGAAAUGCGUAGAUAUGCGGAGGAACACCGAUGGCGAAGGCAAUCCCCUGGGCCUGCACUGACACUCAUGCACGAAAGCGUGGGGAGCAAACAGG
This 253-nucleotide ribosomal RNA is filed under the name uncultured bacterium. Its description in RNAcentral is "partial 16S ribosomal RNA". It matches the Rfam family "Bacterial small subunit ribosomal RNA", at positions 524 to 776 of the family's 1533-position model. The record is from RNAcentral.